This 486-nucleotide ribosomal RNA is filed under the name uncultured bacterium. RNAcentral describes it as "partial 16S ribosomal RNA". It matches the Rfam family "Bacterial small subunit ribosomal RNA", at positions 30 to 507 of the family's 1533-position model. The record is from RNAcentral.
AUUGAACGCUGGCGGCAUGCCUUACACAUGCAAGUCGAACGGCAGCACGGGUUCUUGCACCUGGUGGCGAGUGGCGAACGGGUGAGUAAUACAUCGGAACAUGUCCUGUAGUGGGGGAUAGCCCGGCGAAAGCCGGAUUAAUACCGCAUACGAUCUACGGAUGAAAGCGGGGGACCUUCGGGCCUCGCGCUAUAGGGUUGGCCGAUGGCUGAUUAGCUAGUUGGUGGGGUAAAGGCCUACCAAGGCGACGAUCAGUAGCUGGUCUGAGAGGACGACCAGCCACACUGGGACUGAGACACGGCCCAGGCUCCUACGGGAGGCAGCAGUGGGGAAUUUUGGACAAUGGGCGAAAGCCUGAUCCAGCAAUGCCGCGUGUGUGAAGAAGGCCUUCGGGUUGUAAAGCACUUUUGUCCGGAAAGAAAUCCUUGGCCCUAAUACGGUCGGGGGAUGACGGUACCGGAAGAAUAAGCACCGGCUAACUACGUG